Molecule: transfer RNA, 67 nt
Filed under: Sapayoa aenigma (broad-billed sapayoa)
Lineage: Eukaryota; Metazoa; Chordata; Aves; Passeriformes; Tyrannidae
Description: tRNA-Ser
Source: RNAcentral
GAGGGGAGGUUUAACCAACAGAAACUGCUAAUUCCUGCAUCUGGGUCUAAUAACCCCAGUCCCCUUA